GCGAGGGGCCUCACCCGCUACGUCGUCCCGGCCGGGGCGUUGCUCGCGCUGAGCUUUGUCAUAUGGAAGGUGGUUCAGCAUUUCGUUCCCGGGAAGAGGAAGGACCGGGUUCCUGGAGAACCUGAGUCUUCUGGGGCCAUGUGGUCCUUCGCUGCCGGUUCCAAUUUGUCAACAUCUACAAGCUUUAAAGCUGAAAAGGAGUCCAAGAAAAACCUAAACAAGUUCUACAAGGAACUGCGGACGCUCAAAACCGUUAACAUGGCAGGCCGUCAAUUCGGCGACGAGGGUUUGUUCUUUCUGGCAGAAAGCUUAGCCUAUAACAAGAGUGCAGAAGAGGUGGACUUUUCUGGUAAUGCGAUAACAGCCGUGGGAAUAGAAGCCUUCGAUGGCAUUCUCCAGAUAAACACAGCUUUAAAGUCUCUCAAUUUAUCUGGAAAUGAUAUCGGAGAUGAAGGAGCUAAGUGUCUUUCAGGUAUAUUGGUAGAAAACGUAGGUAUUCAGAAGCUCCUGCUGAACAGUACCAAUAUCGGAGAUGAGGGAGCAAAAGCGAUUUCGGAUAUGCUGAAAAAGAACAAAACAAUACGUUUUGUACAGCUCAGCAAUAAUACAAUCGAAUACAGUGGUUUUGCAAGUAUUGCAGAUGCACUUCUUGAGAAUAAUACGCUACGGAGCUUGUAUCUCAAUGGCAACUAUGGUGGUCCUCUCGGUGCAUCCAGCCUAGCAAAAGGAGUUUUAGGGAACAAAUCUCUCAGGGAACUUCACUUACAUGGUAAUGGGUUUGGGAACGAAGGAUUACGGGUGUUGAUGUCUGCAUUAUCUGCUCACAAAGGCAAGAUAACAGCCUUGGAUAUUGGCAACAACAACAUUACAUCAGAGGGUUCUCAUUAUGUUGCCGAGUUCAUCAAAAUGACGAAGUCUCUACGGUGGCUCAGUCUUUACAUGGAUGACGUUGGUGAUGAGGGUGCUGAAAAGGUGGCAGAUGCUCUGAAACAGAACAAAACAAUUUCUACUAUGGACUUUGGUGGUAAUAACAUUCACUCUAGAGGGGUAACUGCAAUAGCUGAAACUUUGAAGGAGAAUGCAGUGUUGACAACACUGGAGUUGAGUUAUAAUCCAAUUGGACCAGAGGGGGUAAAGGCUUUGUGCGAUGUUAUCAAGUUCAAUGGCAAAAUCCAAACCCUUAAGCUUGGUUGGUGCCAGAUAGGUGUGUCAGGUGCAGAAUCCAUUGCUGAUUGUUUGAAGUAUAACACAACAUUGUCGACAUUGGAUUUGCGGGCAAAUGGACUUGGAGAUGAUGGUGCUAUCUGCUUGGCGCGAAGUUUGAAGAUAAUCAAUGAAUGUUUGAAAUCACUUGACCUGUGUUUUAAUGAGAUUAGAGAUGAUGGAGCAUUUGCAUUGGCGCAAGCACUCAAGGCUAAUGAGGAUCUUACAGUCACAUCAUUAAAUCUUUCAAACAACUUCUUCGGUAAAUUUGGACAGGUUGCUCUGACUGAAGCACGGGAUCAUGUAUACGAGAUGACUGGAAAGGAAAUAGACAUUUAUUUUUAGGUACCAUUGAUUUCUCUUCCCAUUGUGGCGAAAAGGUUUAGCUUCUCCACAGCGGCAUGCUUUGUGCACAGUUAGCCGCGUAAUAGAGGCUUUUGGGCAUUGUACUCGAGUAGAUCAAGUAAAUUGAGAGAAGAGCAUGCUUCAUGCUUGUCAUGGGAAAUUUUGGUCAUGAAUUUGGGCAAUUAGUACCGCCUUCUGCCAGCUUUUCUCCCAAUCUGGUAUCCAUUUGGUGUACAUAUACUGCUUAUUUAUUAUGGAACCAUAUGGUUGCCCCUUGUGUACCACGUCAUCUAGACGCUCAAUUAUUUUGUGAUCUUUUGAGGAUAGAAAAUGUUCCGACCUUAUGAUAGUCUACACCCAUUACCUUGAUGUUGUGCCCAUAUCACGCAUAUCGAAUCCGAUUUACUGGGUUCAUAUUCUA
Lolium rigidum is the source of this 1969-nucleotide RNA transcript. It is a transcript of the gene named NLR family CARD domain-containing protein 3-like, with no coding region annotated. The record is from RefSeq and is a predicted model, not a curated record. The transcript is spliced from 18 exons. NCBI's taxonomy places the organism in Eukaryota, Viridiplantae, Streptophyta, Magnoliopsida, Poales, Poaceae.